CGGACUCUCCAUCGCAAAUAUUUACAAAACCAACAACACAUAAGUUCCCUGACAACCCAAGGCUCUCUCACUUUCUUUAUAUCUAUCUAACCCGACCUCUUUUAGAGAAACGAGAGUAAUCAGAGAGAGAGAGAGAGAGAUGGCAGCCAUUGCUGGUAAUGUUCCUUCUGGGGCGCUCUUUAGAGCUAGAUUAUCAGUAGAUAAUGGGAUUUCUAUGGUUCAACUCAAUGGCCUUAGGCCAGGGGACAAUAUGCAAACUGCUUCGAGGAGGCCGAGGUCAAGUUGGUUCUCAUUUCUACUCAGGGUGAACUUCUGUCUUCUUGAGUCUGAGAGCUGUUAUAGUUAUAUGUUCUUUUCACCCUCCACUUUGUCUCCUAUUAAAUCAUAAUAAAGCACGGUUUUUUUCUGUUCUUCUUUCUUUGGUAUUCUUUACAGAAAUCACUUGUUGCUAUAUCUACUGUGCUAAUCAAGCUAAAGUUUCCUACUUUUCUUCUUUUAUGGCCGAUAUGUUCUCUACUGAUUUAAUACAGCAUUGACUGUUUAUGAGGCAUUAUUUAGGCUAAUGGUAGCUUGAUUUUGAUUUCCCAUUCCCAGCUCCAAAAUGCAGAGCAAUCAAGGCCAUGGCUUUAGCAGCUUCAGCUACCAAACGAGAAAAAGAUCCCAAAAAACGUGUUAUCAUAACGGGAUUGGGCCUUGUAUCGAUUUUUGGCAGUGAGAUCGAUACAUUCUGUAACAAACUUUUGGAGGGAGAGUGUGGGAUUCACCUAAUUGACAGGUUUGAUGCUUCGAAAUACUCCAUCCGGUCGGAUUCAUGAUUUAUCUUCUGAAGGCUACAUUGAUAGGAAGAAUGAUCGCCGGCUUGAUGAUUCCUGGCGGUACUGUUUAGUUGCUGGGGAGAGGGCUCUUGAAGAUGCCAAUCUUGGAACUGAAAUUUUCAAAAAAUGGACAGGACAAAAAUUGGAGUGCUAAUAGGAACAGGCCUUGGAGGCAUGAAAUCUUUCAGCAAUGGAAUGGAAGCUCUAAUCACAAGGGAUAUAACAAAAUCCCGCCGUUCAUCGUUCCUUAUUCCAUCACCAACAUGGGGUCAGCAUUGUUGGCCAUAGAAACGUGAGGUAGAUAUCAUGGUUGCUGGUGGGACUGAGGCUGCAGUCUGCCCUGUUGGGAUUGGUGGGUUCAUCGCAUGCCGGGCUCUUUCUCAGAGAAAUGAUGAACCCCAGAAAGCUUCCAGACAAAGAGACAAAGAUCGUGACGGUUUUGUUAUGGGAGAAGGAUCUGGAGUGCUGACUAAAAGGAUUAUGCAGAGCUUGGUGAGCGCAAUGAGAAGAGGAGCUAAAAUAUAUGCCUAGUAUUUAAGAGGUGCUAUAACAUGCGAUGCUUAUCAAAUAACUGAUCCUGAUUCAGAUGGCCUUGCAGUUUCAUAUUGCAUAACAAAGAGUUUAGAAGAUGCUGGAGUUUCCCCUGAAGAGGUGAACUAUGUGAAUGCUCAUGCAAUAUCUAAAUGAGUAAUGCUAUAUACUACACUCUUAUUCUAUUAAGUAAGAUGUGGCACAUUCAUCACUAUUGAAUGAU
This is a long non-coding RNA of Juglans microcarpa x Juglans regia, 1569 nucleotides long. RefSeq lists it as uncharacterized. NCBI's taxonomy places the organism in Eukaryota, Viridiplantae, Streptophyta, Magnoliopsida, Fagales, Juglandaceae. The transcript has 5 exons. The record is from RefSeq and is a predicted model, not a curated record.